CCAUUACAAGGAGGCUGAAGAGCCGCAUGUGGCUCCAGAGCCGCGGGGUUGCCGACCCCUGCUUUAAAGUAAAGCGCAAAUACCGAGGUCGCUAUACAGUAUCUGGAUAUGGCACUUGGUGCCACUGCUUUGCUGCUCUCCUGCAUAUGGAAAAAUCAUCUCAGAUAAAGGUACACUGGGAUCACUGAAUGAAAAGAUUCUCUUCUCAGUUUGAGCGGCCAGCAGACUGAACUAUAUAAUGCCCAGGACGAGUUUGCACCACCACCAUCUACUCAAAGCACCAUGAUGUUCCAACAUUGAUGGAUUAAAAGCCAGAAGUCUGCAUGACCAUCAU
Erpetoichthys calabaricus (reedfish) is the source of this 334-nucleotide long non-coding RNA. RefSeq lists it as uncharacterized. The transcript is spliced from 3 exons. NCBI's taxonomy places the organism in Eukaryota, Metazoa, Chordata, Cladistia, Polypteriformes, Polypteridae. The record is from RefSeq and is a predicted model, not a curated record.